CGAGACACUUCCAAUUUUACGCGGGAGAAAACCCGAAUAACCAAAGACCUACAUACAAACACCCGCGAAAACCUCAGAAAACAAAUAUAUAGUUAUAUAUAUAUAUAUAAAUAGUUAUAUAUAUAUAUAACUAUACAGUGCUCAAUGAAGCCCACCAAUCCUUAAAUCUGGGUCUGUGAGGAGUUAUCCCUCCCUUGAGUAUUAUUGUUAGUAUUAGCUAUUAGCUGAAUACUAAUAAUAAUAGCUAAUUUAUGAAAGCCACCAACCGCUAAUUUCCCUCAGCUGUGACUUAUUAUUAUUAUUAUUUGGCUAAUAGCAGUAUUUCUGAAAGUCAUGGAUUGCUACAUUUGAAUUUGUGAGGGCUUGUUCCCUCAGCUUUGACUAUUAUUAUUAUUUAUAUUCAAACAAUAGCAGUAUUUACCAAAGCCACUAACUCCUAACUUGGAUCUGUGAGGUAUUUAUCCGCUCAGCUUUGACAAUAAUUACUCUCAUUUAUGAAAGUUAUCGAUUCCUAAAUUUGGAUUUUUGAGGAUGCAUCUCCCCAGCUCUGGGUCUCCUUCAAAUGUUUAAACCCAAAGGUUCUUAACUGAAGAUCUGUGAGGGGUUAUCCGACCUCAGCUUUGAUUAUUAUUUAUAUCCAAACAAUGGCAAUAUUUAUGAAAACCACCAACUCCUAAAUUGACACCUGUGAGGAGUUAUCCCCUGAAUUGUGGCGGAUUCUUCUUCUUCUUCAACUAAUAGCAAUAUUUUUGACAGCCACCAACUUUUAAUUUGGAUCUGCAAGGGAUUAUCCCAAACUGUCAGGUUAUGCCAAUACUGGGCUCAAUGGACAGAAUAUAAAAUAGAAUUUCCAACUCCUUUCUAGUCCAAUGCUUUUUAGGAUUUGGGGCAAAAAUAAAGCAGUUUUUUCUCUGUAUGGUUUUCUGUGCAGAAAAAAGCCUCGCCUGCCAUGGUGAUUCACCUGUCGGGAUUGGGGAGAGCCAAGCUCACCUUCAUCAGCAACCCAACCUUCUCUUUAGCUCCUGGAGGAAAGGUGGGGUUUAAAUGUGACAAACAGAUUAAUAAAUAGUCCAAUCCUGGGCAGGAAAUCUGAAUAAGUCCAAACUAUGUGAAAACUUCUGAUGAGAAAUGGGCGCGCCCUGAUCAAUACUUCCAAAGUGAUAACUUUUGACAACCGAAUUCAGCGGAAGAUUCAGAGAUGUGGCAUGGUCAUUCAGAUUUCUGUAGGGUGGAUGCACAUUUUACUCUAGUGUUUCAUGUAUACAAAUUUAAAUAAUAAAUAAUAAAUAAAUAAAUGUUGUAUGUUGAACACAGCCCCUGUAUGAGGAGAUCCUGCUUUUUGGGGUAUGUGAGUCUUGCCCUUCACGUUCACAGCUGGAUCCCAGGUCACAACAGUGAGAGCAAAAUCCUUUAUUAGGAAAAAUCUGCCAAGCAGAAUGACUUUUUCUUUGGAUCGCUUUUGACAUUUGCACAGGCAGUUUCUUUUUAUAUAUCUCCUGCAAAUUACAUACAUCAGCUGAUUAUUAUUAUUAUUAUUUUGCUUUGUUUUCUUUCAGGUUAAAGGACUGUGUUGUUUGGGUGGAAAACAAUUACAGAAAUACUGAAUUAAGCUUGCCACCUGGUUAGGAACUGGAAGGUGACACUAAUUUGAGUUUGCUUUUUCAUUUUCAGAAUCUGUUUCAGUUGCAUCUUCCUCAGUGCAUUUCGGUAAGGUCCAAGCUGAGAUUUCUCCUGUGCAACAGACAGCCAGAGGGAAGAAGAGGAAGUGCAGAACAUUCUCUGCAGAAUCCAAGCACAUGAAGAGAUUUCGGUGGUCCCUCCCUCCCCUCCUGUGCCACCAAUAGAAAGUGGCGUGACGAUUGCAAAAGGACGCAGAUAGACAUGCAAAUGAUUGCAUGCGAAGGCAUUGUGGGAUCAAAACCGGGGUGCAAAUCAGUGCUGGCAAAGUACCCCAACACACUGUGUAAGCAAACUGGGGAGAGGCAGGAUCUCAGCAGAGCCUUCCUGAGCUUGCUGGGGAUUUUCUGGGGGA
RNA transcript from Ahaetulla prasina, 2032 nucleotides. RefSeq lists it as uncharacterized. The record is from RefSeq and is a predicted model, not a curated record. Lineage: Eukaryota; Metazoa; Chordata; Lepidosauria; Squamata; Colubridae. The transcript has 2 exons.